GUUAAGCUUCCUGGUCGCCAUUUCGUUAAAGGUAUUAUUUCUUCAAGAAAUAUAGCAGCCAAUUACUGUGAACCAUGUACUGCGCGUGGUAUGACUCCAACUGCAUCCGAAUGGUGUACCGAAUGCGAAGAAGCCCUAUGUUCCGAUUGUACAGAGGCGCAUAGAGUUCAAAAAAUGUCAAAAAAUCACCAUUUAGUACAUGUAGAUAACAUACUGGAACAAAUCAAUUUAUCGUAUAAUUGUUCAAAGCAUCAACAUUUACUUUUGACUAUUUUUGUGUUGAUCAUGAUGUUAUUUGUUGUAAGGAAUGUUGGCCAAAAAAUCAUCAAACAUGCAAGAACGUCACAGCCAUUGACAUUGCGUCAAAAAAUUCCAAACAAUCGCAGUCUUUCCUGGAUUAUGAAGAACAGUUGCACUUUCUUUUAGAAGCAUUAGAAAACUUGAACAAGAAUUGCAAGGAUAAUGGAAGUCGAAUUAAGAAAGAAGAAACCAAAAUUUUGAAACAAAUAAAAACAAUGAAAGAAAAUGUUAUCAAACAGUUGGAAGCUUUAGAAGAGUCACGUUUAAAACAGCUAACUGAAAAGAAAGACAAAUACGUAACCAGUUUGAAACGACAGGAGGAAUGUAUAAGGGGCUUAGUAAACUCCACAAAAGCUAAAAAGGAAUUGUUGGAAUUUGUUAGAGAUCAUGGUUCUGAUAAACAAGCGUUCGUUUCUAUUCAUUCAUCCAAACCAGUCUUAGAUGAAAUUGAAAACAAAGUUCAACAGCUUACCGAAUCGUUUGCAGACACAAGUAUUACGUUCGUCGAAAACGUCUCGAAGGAAAAAUUAGCAGAUCUCGGGUCAAUAGAAUUAAAGGAAACAUCUUGUUCCUUUUCAUUUGUCCCAUACAAGCAGUGCCGGUCACAGGUUCCAAUUGUUAUGAAGCACCAGAUAAUAUCAUUUACCAAUCUCUACAACAUCGACAUGAAAGGAGAAAGGUUAAUAGGAGUAACUGGCAUAACGGUAUCAGACAAUAACACAUUGAUUUUCUGUGAUGUGAUUACAAAAAAAGGUAUAUUUUUGUGAUGAAAACGAUACAUACCAAUCAUCUAUCAGCUCUCAAUAUCAACCAUGGGAUAUAGCAACAAUACCAGGAACAACCACUGCUGUUGUGUCAAGUAGAUAUGAACCGUACAUACAGUUUCUAGAUACCAAAAGAUGCAGGAUAUCAAAGAAGGUAGAAGUGAAACAAAGUGGAGGUUAUGGUGUUGCUGCUUCAAAUGAUGCUAUAUUUGUAGGUACUGGAGACAAUAUACAGGUCCUAGACUUCAAUGGAAAUAUUCUAAGAACAGUUCGUCUAAAAUACGGGUUUGGACAGAACACCGGUGGAUACAUUUCCAUUUUCUCAGAUGGGAACAUUACUUAUUCGAACACGAAGGAAGUCCAUUGCACUACAUUAGAUGGAUGUCAUGUUUUCUCGUAUUCGUUACCUGAUCUUCGUUGCCCACGAAAUAUGGAUAAUGCUGGAAACAUAUACGUUUUGAGUAAAUUGUCACACAAUAUUCAUAAACUUACAUCAACCGGAACUUUAGUAGAAAUCUGUUUGAAAGAUGGUUUGUCCUUUCCUCAAGCGUUUUGUUUUAAUAAGGACUUGUCUAAAUGUUAUAUUGCAAAUAGAAAUGGAACGACAAUAUCAGUAUUCAAGACAAAUUAGUAACAUUUUGAGUGAGUUUGCACAUACAUUUUUAAAGUUCGAUGAUAAAUUUCAAUACAAACAUGACUACGGUUGGAUUAGUUAUUACAGUGUAUCUUAAUCAUGUUAAUGGAAUGAAAUCAAUUUGCCUCAUUUUAUGUUAUGUAUUGUAAUUUGUUGUGUUUUAUUAUUUUUUUAAUUAUUUUUUCUAAAACAAUUUUCUAUAAAUUAAUUCUUAAAUUGGUUUCAGGUUUCGAGAGAUUUGCGUAAUAUAAUAUCACGGGCACUUAGAGAUCUUCCUUUUUGUGUUAAAGAUUUCCUCCUUAAAAAUUCGUAUAUAUUUCAACUUAUUUUCCUAUACAAUAACUGUCGUUUACACGUGCUGUCAAUUACAUUAUGAGUAGAGGGACGGUACUUGUAAACGACAAUUAUUGAAAAUUUAAUUGAAUAAAGCAAACAUACAUUAAGUAAGGAAUAAGAACUUCAAAUAUUAAAGAAAAUUCAAUAAAAAUCUUAUUAAAUAAAAAUAAAAAACAAAGGAGGUGGCUCAUGAAUACCCGAAGAUUUGUGUAUAGUAUUUGAAGUAUUAGCCCGUUAAAGUUAAAUUGAAACAUAUUCUGGUAAAUGAUAAAGCAUAUAUACACGAAAUUAUUUGAAUAUUUGUGUAAUUGAUAAAAAUGAUAAACACCCAAAACUGUUAAUACUGAAAGGAAAACUGAUGUUUUUUUCAUGUAAUAUUUUAAUGUUCUACAACAGGACCCGAAGAAAUAAACCAUGAGUAGUGUGCUAUUGCAUUUUGUCAUAAACAUCUGUUAUAUUUUU
Mytilus californianus (California mussel) is the source of this 2496-nucleotide long non-coding RNA. RefSeq lists it as uncharacterized. The record is from RefSeq and is a predicted model, not a curated record. Lineage: Eukaryota; Metazoa; Mollusca; Bivalvia; Mytilida; Mytilidae. The transcript has 2 exons.